CGUGUAGGCGGUAUCAUAAGUCAGAUGUGAAAUCCCCGAGCUCAACUUGGGAACUGCGUUUGAAACUGCAAGACUAGAAUAUGUCAGAGGGGGGUAGAAUUCCACGUGUAGCAGUGAAAUGCGUAGAGAUGUGGAGGAAUACCAAUGGCGAAGGCAGCCCCCUGGGAUAAUAUUGACGCUCAUGCACGAAAGCGUGGGGAGCAAACAGGAUUAGAUACCCCAGUA
RNAcentral lists this ribosomal RNA (225 nucleotides) under uncultured Methylophilus sp. RNAcentral's name for it is "partial 16S ribosomal RNA". It matches the Rfam family "Bacterial small subunit ribosomal RNA", at positions 568 to 792 of the family's 1533-position model. Lineage: Bacteria; Pseudomonadati; Pseudomonadota; Betaproteobacteria; Nitrosomonadales; Methylophilaceae. The record is from RNAcentral.